CGCCCGGUAGCUCAGUGGUUAGAGCGCUGGCUUGAAAAGCCAGAGGACCAAGGUUCGAUUCCCCGGCCGGGUGG
Molecule: non-coding RNA, 74 nt
Organism: Portunus trituberculatus (swimming crab)
Lineage: Eukaryota; Metazoa; Arthropoda; Malacostraca; Decapoda; Portunidae
Source: the annotation of a RefSeq genome assembly